CCCUUAGACGUUCUGGGCCGCACGCGCGCUACACUGACACAGGCAACGAGCUUUCCUUUACCGAAAGGUAUGGGUAAUCUUUUGAAACUGUGUCGUGCUGGGGAUAGAUCCUUGCAAUUUUUGAUCUCAAACGAGGAAUUCCUAGUAAGCGCGAGUCAUCAACUCGCGUUGAUUACGUCCCUGCCCUUUGUACACACCGCCCGUCGCUACUACCGAUUGAAUGGCUUAGUGAGGCCUCAGGAUCCGCGCUUAAUGUGUGGAGAAUUUGGACAAACUACGUCAUUUAGAGGAAGUAAAAGUCGUAACA
This 307-nucleotide ribosomal RNA is filed under the name uncultured eukaryote. Its description in RNAcentral is "partial 18S ribosomal RNA". It matches the Rfam family "Eukaryotic small subunit ribosomal RNA", at positions 1470 to 1796 of the family's 1831-position model. The record is from RNAcentral.